Molecule: ribosomal RNA, 301 nt
Filed under: uncultured bacterium
Lineage: Bacteria
Description: partial 16S ribosomal RNA
Rfam family: Bacterial small subunit ribosomal RNA
Source: RNAcentral
CAGCAGCCGCGGUAAUACAGAGGGUGCGAGCGUUAAUCGGAUUUACUGGGCGUAAAGCGUGCGUAGGCGGCUUCUUAAGUCGGAUGUGAAAUCCCUGAGCUUAACUUAGGAAUUGCAUUCGAUACUGGGAAGCUAGAGUAUGGGAGAGGAUGGUAGAAUUCCAGGUGUAGCGGUGAAAUGCGUAGAGAUCUGGAGGAAUACCGAUGGCGAAGCAGCCAUCUGGCCUAAUACUGACGCUGAGGUACGAAAGCAUGGGGAGCAAACAGGAUUAGAUACCCGUGUAGUCCCUGUCUCUUAUACA